This 468-nucleotide ribosomal RNA is filed under the name uncultured bacterium. RNAcentral describes it as "partial 16S ribosomal RNA". It matches the Rfam family "Bacterial small subunit ribosomal RNA", at positions 28 to 507 of the family's 1533-position model. The record is from RNAcentral.
GACGAACGCUGGCGGCGUGCUUAACACAUGCAAGUCGAACGGAAAGGCCCUGCUUUUGUGGGGUGCUCGAGUGGCAAACGGGUGAGUAACACGUGAGUAACCUGCCCUUGACUUUAGGAUAACUUCAGGAAACUGGGGCUAAUACCGGAUAGGAGCUCCUGCUGCAUGGUGGGGGUUGGAAAGUUUCGGCGGUUGGGGAUGGACUCGCGGCUUAUCAGCUUGUUGGUGGGGUAGUGGCUUACCAAGGCUUUGACGGGUAGCCGGCCUGAGAGGGUGACCGGCCACAUUGGGACUGAGAUACGGCCCAGACUCCUACGGGAGGCAGCAGUGGGGAAUAUUGCACAAUGGGCGGAAGCCUGUUGCAGCAACGCCGCGUGCGGGAUGACGGCCUUCGGGUUGUAAACCGCUUUCGCCUGUGACGAAGCGUGAGUGACGGUAAUGGGUAAAGAAGCACCGGCUAACUACGUG